UCGUAACCUGGCGGCUGCUUACACAGGCAAUUCGUCCGUUAGCUCCCACCUUUUGGUACACGUAGUGGCGAACUGGUGAGUUACACUGGGUGACCUCCCUGCACUUCGGGAUAACCGCCUGGAACUUGGGUCUUAUACCCGGAUAGGUCCGCACCGUGUAGGUUUUGUGGAAAGUUUUUCGGUGUGGAUGGGCCCUCGGCCUAUCAGCUUUUGUUGGUAAUGGCCUACCAAGGCGUCGACGGGUACCGGCCUGAGAGGUGGACGGCCACAUUGGGACUUGAGACACGGCCCAGACUCCUACGGGAGGCAGCAGUGGGGAAUAUUGCACAAUGGCGGAAGCCUGAUGCAGCGACGCCGCGUGGGGGAUGACGGCCUUCGGGUUGUAAACUCCUUUCACCAUCGACGAAGGGUUUCUGACGGUAGAUGGAGAAGAAGCACCGGCUAACUACGUGCCAGCAGCCGCGGUAAUACGUAGGGUGCGAGCGUUGUCCGGAAUUACUGGGCGUAAAGAGCUCGUAGGUGGUUUGUCGCGUCGUCUGUGAAAUUCCGGGGCUUAACUCCGGGCGUGCAGGCGAUACGGGCAUAACUUGAGUACUGUAGGGGAGACUGGAAUUCCUGGUGUAGCGGUGAAAUGCGCAGAUAUCAGGAGGAACACCGGUGGCGAAGGCGGGUCUCUGGGCAGUAACUGACGCUGAGGAGCGAAAGCAUGGGGAGCGAACAGGAUUAGAUACCCUGGUAGUCCAUGCCGUAAACGGUGGGCGCUAGGUGUGGGUUUCCUUCCACGGGAUCCGUGCCGUAGCUAACGCAUUAAGCGCCCCGCCUGGGGAAUACCGCCGCAAGGCUA
Molecule: ribosomal RNA, 844 nt
Filed under: uncultured Actinomycetes bacterium
Lineage: Bacteria; Bacillati; Actinomycetota; Actinomycetes
Description: bacterial SSU rRNA
Rfam family: Bacterial small subunit ribosomal RNA
Source: RNAcentral